GGUAAGGUUGUUGUUGGAAGCCUAGAGGGGUUGUGCUCUCUGAUUUCCUUGACCACCCAAAGAGAAAUUGAGAUGGUUCCUCCAACCUGCAUUAUAGGUGUUACUAUAAGGGUUAUUUUGAGGCUUAUAAUUAUUACCCAUAUAAUUAAUUUGUUCGUUCUUUGUGUCAGGACCGUAGGGUAAACAUCUGGAUUCCUUAUUCCCCCUCCAUUCGUAUCGCAUUACAUCACCAGAUGUACCUACGUAGAAACAUAUAAACCAUCAAU
This 266-nucleotide long non-coding RNA is filed under the name Gossypium barbadense (sea-island cotton). Its description in RNAcentral is "long non-coding RNA (GBAR_LNC015347)". Lineage: Eukaryota; Viridiplantae; Streptophyta; Magnoliopsida; Malvales; Malvaceae. The record is from RNAcentral.